AUGUGGAGAUGCAGGGAGAGAUGUGGGGGCAAAAAAGGUAUAAAACCUGACCACAUCCCUCCCCUAGGGUAUACUGAUCCCUUCUUCCUCCACCUUUUCGAGAGAGGGGAGGCGGCGGAAACACCAGAAGCCAGGGAGGGGGAGAUGGCUGGAAGAAAUGGAAAUUGGCAGAUGGGGAGUGGGAGAGGAGGCUAUGGAGGACGAGGUAAUUUCUCAGCUGGUAGGAAUACUUCUCCCCCUGGUAGAAAUUCUGGUAGAUUUGAGGACAGGAACCAGAAUUUUGGAAACAAAAGGGAGGGGGUUCAGAUUUGGUGA
This 315-nucleotide ribosomal RNA is filed under the name Triticum aestivum (bread wheat). RNAcentral describes it as "partial small subunit ribosomal RNA". The record is from RNAcentral. Lineage: Eukaryota; Viridiplantae; Streptophyta; Magnoliopsida; Poales; Poaceae.